CAAGUCGAGCGGUAAGGCCCUUCGGGGUACACGAGCGGCGAACGGGUGAGUAACACGUGGGUGAUCUGCCCUGCACUUCGGGAUAAGCCUGGGAAACUGGGUCUAAUACCGGAUAUGACCUUCGGCUGCAUGGCUGAGGGUGGAAAGGUUUACUGGUGCAGGAUGGGCCCGCGGCCUAUCAGCUUGUUGGUGGGGUAAUGGCCUACCAAGGCGACGACGGGUAGCCGACCUGAGAGGGUGACCGGCCACACUGGGACUGAGACACGGCCCAGACUCCUACGGGAGGCAGCAGUGGGGAAUAUUGCACAAUGGGCGAAAGCCUGAUGCAGCGACGCCGCGUGAGGGAUGACGGCCUUCGGGUUGUAAACCUCUUUCAGCAGGGACGAAGCGAAAGUGACGGUACCUGCAGAAGAAGCACCGGCUAACUACGUGCCAGCAGCCGCGGUAAUACGUAGGGUGCAAGCGUUGUCCGGAAUUACUGGGCGUAAAGAGUUCGUAGGCGGUUUGUCGCGUCGUUUGUGAAAACUCACAGCUCAACUGUGAGCCUGCAGGCGAUACGGGCAGACUUGAGUACUGCAGGGGAGACUGGAAUUCCUGGUGUAGCGGUGAAAUGCGCAGAUAUCAGGAGGAACACCGGUGGCGAAGGCGGGUCUCUGGGCAGUAACUGACGCUGAGGAACGAAAGCGUGGGUAGCGAACAGGAUUAGAUACCCUGGUAGUCCACGCCGUAAACGGUGGGCGCUAGGUGUGGGUU
RNAcentral lists this ribosomal RNA (753 nucleotides) under Rhodococcus sp. (in: high G+C Gram-positive bacteria). Its description in RNAcentral is "bacterial SSU rRNA". It matches the Rfam family "Bacterial small subunit ribosomal RNA", at positions 58 to 828 of the family's 1533-position model. Lineage: Bacteria; Bacillati; Actinomycetota; Actinomycetes; Mycobacteriales; Nocardiaceae. The record is from RNAcentral.